GCUUCUUUUUAAAUGAUGAGAUACCAACGCAACAUAGAGUCAAGCUCAGAGUACAAAAAGUACUGGGACGAGACUUGCAUUCAUAUUUUCUGACUAAAGAGAAGU
The sequence is a small nucleolar RNA, 105 nucleotides long. It matches the Rfam family "Small nucleolar RNA snR66". From Rfam's summary of the family: snR66 is a member of the C/D class of snoRNA which contain the C (UGAUGA) and D (CUGA) box motifs. Most of the members of the box C/D family function in directing site-specific 2'-O-methylation of substrate RNAs. The record is from Rfam.